GACGAACGCUGGCGGCGUGCUUAACACAUGCAAGUCGAACGGAAAGGCCCUGCUUUUGUGGGGUGCUCGAGUGGCGAACGGGUGAGUAACACGUGAGUAACCUGCCCUUGACUUUGGGAUAACUUCAGGAAACUGGGGCUAAUACCGGAUAGGAGCUCCUGCUGCAUGGUGGGGGUUGGAAAGUUUCGGCGGUUGGGGAUUGACUCGCGGCUUAUCAGCUUGUUUGUUGGGUAGUGGCUUACCAAGGCUUUGACGGGUAGCCGGCCUGAGAGGGUGACCGGGGAAAAUGGGAGUGAGAGACGGAGCAGAAGGCAACGGGAGGCAGCAGGGGGGAAUAUUGCACAAUGGGAGGAAGCAUGAUGAAGAAAAGCCGCGAGCGGGAUGACGGCCUUCGGGUUGUAAACAGCUUUAGAAUGUGAAGAAGAGUGAGUGACGGUAAUGGGUAAAGAAGCACCGGCUAACUACGUG
RNAcentral lists this ribosomal RNA (468 nucleotides) under uncultured bacterium. Its description in RNAcentral is "partial 16S ribosomal RNA". It matches the Rfam family "Bacterial small subunit ribosomal RNA", at positions 28 to 507 of the family's 1533-position model. The record is from RNAcentral.